CAAGUCGAACGAGCAGCCGGAUUCUUCGGAAACCGGUGGGCUAGUGGCGCACGGGUGAGUAACACGUUGGUGACCUGCCCCGAGGCGGGAGACAACCACUGGAAACGGUGGCUAAUACCGCAUGUGCUUAAUCAUUCGUUUGGUUAAGUAAAACUCAGGUGCUUCGGGAGGGGCCUGCGGUCGAUUAGUUAGUUGGUGAGGUAAUGGCUCACCAAGACAGUUAUCGAUAGGGGGCGUGAGAGCGUGACCCCCCACACUGGAACUGAGACACGGUCCAGACUCCUACGGGAGGCAGCAGUGAGGAAUAUUGCACAAUGGGCGCAAGCCUGAUGCAGCAACGCCGCGUGGGGGAUGAAGGCCUUCGGGUCGUAAACCCCUUUUCCAUGGGAAGAGAAAGGACGGUACCAUGGGAAUAAGUCUCGGCUAACUACGUGCCAGCAGCCGCGGUAAAACGUAGGAGGCGAACGUUAUCCGGAAUUACUGGGCGUAAAGCGCGCGCAGGCGGUUUCGUAAGUCCGAUGUGAAAGCUCCCGGCUUAACUGGGAGAGGCCAUUGGAUACUGCGGAGCUUGAGGUUAGGAGAGGAAAGCGGAAUUCCCGGUGUAGUGGUGGAAUGCGUAGAUAUCGGGAGGAACUCCAGAGGCGAAGGCGGC
RNAcentral lists this ribosomal RNA (652 nucleotides) under uncultured bacterium. Its description in RNAcentral is "bacterial SSU rRNA". It matches the Rfam family "Bacterial small subunit ribosomal RNA", at positions 58 to 725 of the family's 1533-position model. The record is from RNAcentral.